RNAcentral lists this ribosomal RNA (556 nucleotides) under uncultured bacterium. RNAcentral describes it as "partial 16S ribosomal RNA". It matches the Rfam family "Bacterial small subunit ribosomal RNA", at positions 355 to 902 of the family's 1533-position model. The record is from RNAcentral.
UGGGGAAUUUUGGACAAUGGGGGAAACCCUGAUCCAGCCAUCCCGCGUGUGCGAUGAAGGCCUUCGGGUUGUAAAGCACUUUUGGCAGGAAAGAAACGUCGCGGGUUAAUACCCCGCGAAACUGACGGUACCUGCAGAAUAAGCACCGGCUAACUACGUGCCAGCAGCCGCGGUAAUACGUAGGGUGCAAGCGUUAAUCGGAAUUACUGGGCGUAAAGCGUGCGCAGGCGGUUCGGAAAGAAAGAUGUGAAAUCCCAGAGCUUAACUUUGGAACUGCAUUUUUAACUACCGGGCUAGAGUGUGUCAGAGGGAGGUGGAAUUCCGCGUGUAGCAGUGAAAUGCGUAGAUAUGCGGAGGAACACCGAUGGCGAAGGCAGCCUCCUGGGAUAACACUGACGCUCAUGCACGAAAGCGUGGGGAGCAAAACAGGAUUAGAUACCCUGGUAGUCCACGCCCUAAACGAUGUCAACUAGCUGUUGGGGCCUUCGGGCCUUGGUAGCGCAGCUAACGCGUGAAGUUGACCGCCUGGGGAGUACGGUCGCAAGAUUAAAAACUC